Vicugna pacos (alpaca) is the source of this 104-nucleotide small nuclear RNA. The record is from Ensembl. Lineage: Eukaryota; Metazoa; Chordata; Mammalia; Artiodactyla; Camelidae.
GUGCUUGCUUCAGCAGCACAUACUAGAACUGGAACGACGCAGAGAUGAGUAGCAUGACCCUGUGCAAGGUUGACAUGCAAAUCUGUGAAGCAUUGCGUAUUUUU